Monodelphis domestica (gray short-tailed opossum) is the source of this 108-nucleotide small nuclear RNA. The record is from Ensembl. NCBI's taxonomy places the organism in Eukaryota, Metazoa, Chordata, Mammalia, Didelphimorphia, Didelphidae.
GUGCUCACUUUGGCAGCACAUAUACUAAAAAUUGAAAUGAUACAAAGAAGAUCAGCAUGGCCUCUGCACACAGAUAACACACAAAUUCAUGAAGCAUUCCAAUAAAAA